UCCCAAAGUGCUAGAAUUACAGAUGUGAGCUACUGUGCCUGACCUAUUUUAAGACACUCUAUACUUCACAUUCUACCAUUACCAUCUACCAAGAUUCUUUGAUUCCCUAAAUCCACCAUCUUUUCUCUCAUCCAAACUCUUGUCUUUCUUGAUCCUUACUGGUACCUUCCUUUGACUGUUUCCUACCGUUCUUCUUACCAUAGGUUAGACAUUUCCUGCUGGAGGCCUUUCUUGAUGAUGUGAAUUAGGUAUUUCAUUUCAGCCACAUAGGCACUUUGUAUGCUUUUCAAAGUACUUUGUAGUAUGUAUUUUAAUUGAUGUUUGGCUUCCUCAUCAAUUCAUCCCAGCAGACUACAAACUCUAUGAAGGCAGACAUUAUAAUUGUAUUCACUAUUGUAUUUCUGUACCUCGCGUAUAGUAAAUACACACAUCAUGGAUUUAUAUGUAAAUAUAUAGCGAUUAAAUUAAAAGAUCUCUAAAAUUUAAGUUUUUACGAGAAUGGAGGUUUUACAUUUCUGUUAAAAUGUAUAAUAAUAUAAACUAUAGAUUAACUUGCCCACCACAAAUAGAACUUUCUAAGUUAAAGGUGAGUUUUGGCAGUUUCAGGAAAGAGCUGGAUAGUGAAUCCCAAUGGAUGGGCUGCAGAUUUCUGAGAGGGGUGGCUGUGGAAUCAUUAAAAGCGUUAUCCAGAGUACAUGAAACACUGUCUAGAUUGCCAGUAUAUCUUCUACACAAUAGUAAAUCUAAUUUUCUAAUGUGUAUAGCUGCUGUCAUGCUUAAUAAUGUGCGAAUUCAUAUGACAGCGUAUCUGCAGUAAAGAUAACAUUUAUCCUUAUGCAAAAUCCCAGAGAAAAUUAAAAGUGCAAGUAUAACUGCGGAGGGGUGUAAUAGAGGGUUAUACAGAUUUUUAUCUUUGAAAAGAAGCUAUUCAGGAAAAGGUUGGAAAGUGCUUGCUUAGAGCAGAAAACUACUCCAUUGGGACAUAUCUGGAUACAGGUAUUAGUAUUGUGAGAUGAGGAAGGGCAUGUGCUUUGGAGUCAAAAAGUUUUGGGUUCAGUACCAGCUCUGUUACAGCCAGGGUUACCAGAGGUGAUACCAUCACCGUCCUCAUUCCUCAGGUUUAUCAUUUGUAAUACUUUCAACCUCAAAGUUUCUUGUGGAGAGUCAUUGAAAACCUGUAUGUGAUAGACUGAGCACAGUGCCUAGCACACAGCAAAUCCUAAAUGACUUUUAGCUAUUACACCACAACACGCCAUACUGGGAGAGCAUGGGGUGGGUUUGGGGGUUAUUUUAUGUGACAGAAUUGAGAAUACUGCACAUCUGCAUGAGAGGGAAUGUUGUUAUAUGGAAAUGGUUUGGAAUACUGUUAUAUAGAACUGGUGUGGCACUACCACAGACUCCACCCAUUGCCACAUGUGCCUAGGGUCAGACCUGAUUUGCUGUGUGCCAGCACUUUAACAUACACUAUUUCUAGUUUUCAUGUUAUAUACAGUACUCUUAUCUCAGUUUCACAUAUGAGAGAAACAGGCUCAGAGACAUCCAAGGAUUUGCCCAGGAAAAUAUAACCAAUGUAGCCACAGGACCUGAUUUGGACCCGGAUUUGUCUAGCUGAAGACAAAUGCUGAGAUUGAUUUGGGAACAAAAAACUUUAGGGGAAAAGGAAACCCAGGAACUUGGUACUGCAUUUUUUUCCCCUUCUGCUCUGUUACCAAGUUAUUAGCACUCAAAGCAAGUGUAUAUUCUCAGGAACACAGGAAUGAGAUGGCGGAUAAUUGUAAUCUAACUGAAAAGUAAUUUAUUAUGAUUUCCCUUGACUCUAGUCUCCACAGUGGUUCUAUACCAUUUCUUAUUCCAGCUUCUCUAAGUCCUGGAGAAUGAAUGUGCUUUGGUUUCCUUUCAACCCAUUCUGUUCUCUCCGCAAUUUACCCUGAACCAUUAAUUCAUUUACUAGAUAUACAGCAACCAUACAAACACAGAUGUCUAAGAAUUGGAAGUGUUGAUUAAUGAUAUUUCCUAUGGCUUUUCAUUUUACAUUAUAUAAAUGAUAAAGGUUUAUUUUGCAAAAGAGAAAGGACACCAUUUGUUAUGAUUUGGUUCUGUGUCCCCACCCAAAUCUCAUCUCCAGUUGUAAUCCCCAUAAUCUCCACGUGUUGAGGGAGGAAUCUGGUGAGAGGUGACUGGUUUAUGGAGAUGGUUUACCCCAUGCUGUUCUCAUAAUCGUGAGUGAGUUUUCAUGAGAUCUAAUGGUUUUGUAAGUGUUUGAUGGUUCCUCCUUUACAUGCUCACUCUCUCACUUGCCACAUUGUAAGAUGUGCCUGUUUCCCCUUCUGCCAUGAUUGUAAGUUUCCUGGGGCCUCCUCAGACAUGUGGAACUGUGAGUCAAUUAAACCUCUUUCCUUCAUAAAUUAUCCAGUCGUGGGUAUUUCUUUAUAGCAGUGUGAAAAUGGACUAAUAUACCAUUGUAUAAAAACUCCUUGUUAUCAAGGCUUAUUUUGAGUGGGCAUCGUAACGCAUGCCUGUAUUACUCUGGAGGCUGAAGUGGUAGGACUACUUAAGCCCAGGACUUUGAGGCUGCAGUGAGCUAUGAUUGUACUACUGGAUUCCAGCCUCAGUAACAGAAUGAGACCCUAUCUCUUAAAAAAUGCAAAAA
Molecule: long non-coding RNA, 2650 nt
Organism: Macaca fascicularis (crab-eating macaque)
Lineage: Eukaryota; Metazoa; Chordata; Mammalia; Primates; Cercopithecidae
Source: Ensembl